Molecule: ribosomal RNA, 442 nt
Filed under: Pseudoramibacter alactolyticus
Lineage: Bacteria; Bacillati; Bacillota; Clostridia; Eubacteriales; Eubacteriaceae
Description: bacterial SSU rRNA
Rfam family: Bacterial small subunit ribosomal RNA
Source: RNAcentral
GACGAACGCUGGCGGUAUGCUUAACACAUGCAAGUCGAACGAGAAGUCUUUUAUUGAACCUUCGGGGGAUAUAAGAGACAGACAGUGGCGAACGGGUGAGUAACGCGUGGGCAACCUACCUAUCGGAGCGGGAUAGCCUCGAGAAAUCGGGAGUAAAACCGCAUACACGGAUAUAUCGCAUGAUGAAUCCGUCAAAACUCCGGUGCCGAUAGAUGGGCCCGCGUCUGAUUAGCUAGUUGGUAAGGUAAGGGCUUACCAAGGCAACGAUCAGUAGCCGGUCUGAGAGGGCGAACGGCCACACUGGAACUGAGACACGGUCCAGACUCCUACGGGAGGCAGCAGUGGGGAAUAUUGCGCAAUGGGGGCAACCCUGACGCAGCAAUACCGCGUGAGUGAAGAAGGUUUUCGGAUCGUAAAGCUCUGUUAUUGGGGAAGAAGCAAA